GGACAGUAUGGGAGUGAGAAUGUUGGCAUGAGUAGCGAGAUGUGGGUGAGAAUCCCACAGGCCGUAAACCCAAGGUUUCCAGGGGAAGGUUCGUCCGCCCUGGGUUAGUCGGGUCCUAAGCUGAGGCCGAAAGGCGUAGGUGAUGGACAACAGGUUGAUAUUCCUGUACUACCGAUAACCGGUUGAGAGAUGGGAUGACACAGUAGGAUAAGUUAAGCACACUGUUGGUUAUGUGUGCCCA
Molecule: ribosomal RNA, 241 nt
Filed under: Clostridioides difficile
Lineage: Bacteria; Bacillati; Bacillota; Clostridia; Peptostreptococcales; Peptostreptococcaceae
Description: partial 23S ribosomal RNA
Rfam family: Bacterial large subunit ribosomal RNA
Source: RNAcentral